AUAGUAAAGAACAAAGAGAGUAU
Molecule: small nuclear RNA, 23 nt
Filed under: Arabidopsis thaliana (thale cress)
Lineage: Eukaryota; Viridiplantae; Streptophyta; Magnoliopsida; Brassicales; Brassicaceae
Description: snRNA_09790
Source: RNAcentral